Molecule: ribosomal RNA, 253 nt
Filed under: uncultured bacterium
Lineage: Bacteria
Description: partial 16S ribosomal RNA
Rfam family: Bacterial small subunit ribosomal RNA
Source: RNAcentral
GACAGAGGGUGCAAACGUUGUUCGGAAUUAAUGGGCGUAAAGCGCGUGUAGGCGGCUUGGCAAGUCGGGUGUGAAAGCCCCGGGCUCAACCUGGGAAGUGCACUCGAAACUGCUUGGCUUGAGUACUGGAGAGGGAAGCGGAAUUCUCGGUGUAGAGGUGAAAUUCGUAGAUAUCGGGAGGAACACCAGUGGCGAAGGCGACUUCCUGGCCUGUUCUUGACGCUGAGGCGCGAAAGCUAGGGUAGCAAACGGG